AGUCAUUAGGGUUCGAGGUGGGGGAAGCAAUGGACCACCCCCACCUUUGUGGAGCCCAUUUUCUCCUUUGAUGGUUACCAGGCCCCCACUCAGCUCUCUCUCCUACCCUUUGUGCUGUGCCUGCAGCCCCCGUGCCCAAGAAUACCAAGCAACUGGCUCUGGCCCCCUGCCCAGUUCCCAGGCUGGCUGGGUGGUGGGGGGAGGGGACUUUAGAUGCGGCUUUGGGAGAAUGGCAAAAGGGGACUGCCCCCCCUUCUCGUAUCGUAUCAACAUCCUACUGGCACUACCUUCAGCAUGGUCUGAUGAGAUCAGCAAGGCCAGAUCUCACCUAGGCUUUCACCCUAUCCCUCUUUCAUGAUCCUUAGGUGAGAAGUAGAGAACAUUCAAGGCCUUCCUUCCACUAAGAUAGGAACUGUGGCUAAGACAGAAGAAAGAAGGUCAGAUGUUUGAAUGGACUUUCUGGAUUUGAUAAAAUGUGACACUAGUGGUAAGCUCAAAAAUGGAACUUAUUUCCACAAUGAGUAUCUAUUUCCUUUUAGUCAGAAAAGUAAAGCAUGUUUUAAAAAGUAAAUUGUAUCAUAAACACUCUGUAUGCGACUAGACCAAGGGGUGGGCAAGCAGCAAGAUGACCUUGUCCCUGACGGAGGCUGCCUGCAAAUCACCCCAGCAUUAGGCUGGGAAUGUGGCAGAUCAAAGGGGCUUGGUUGACACAUUCACAUUUUCCUUCUUGCUCUACUGCAGGGGAACUGAGAUUGGCAUGGUGGUCACAAAAUAAGAGAUACAGACCCAGAAGUCCCCAUUCCCAGCCC
This 809-nucleotide long non-coding RNA is filed under the name Homo sapiens (human). RNAcentral describes it as "HSALNT0016277". Lineage: Eukaryota; Metazoa; Chordata; Mammalia; Primates; Hominidae. The record is from RNAcentral.